RNAcentral lists this long non-coding RNA (1229 nucleotides) under Nicotiana benthamiana. RNAcentral's name for it is "long non-coding RNA (NBEN_LNC030711)". The record is from RNAcentral. Lineage: Eukaryota; Viridiplantae; Streptophyta; Magnoliopsida; Solanales; Solanaceae.
UUUACUUCGUAACUUGUAGCUUCGUACAGAAACAAACAAUUGAAAAUAAAACUUCAAGAAAAGCUCUAAACAGAAAAGUUCUAAACUUUUGCAAUGAAACUGUUGCUAGUACGAUGCUGUACAAAAGGACGCUCCGUGAUUUGAUUUCCUCAUUCUACAACUAUUACAAAUUCCCAAGUCUAUUUCAAUGAGGAAAUGCAGUAAUACAGAAGAAAAAGAAACAGAACAGUUUUAGUCCCAUCUGCGGCAAUCCAACUGCAGAGUCUCACACAAUUUAGCAUUGAAAAUGGAAUAUAACAAGAGAACAUCUCAGAGGCCUAUAGGCCAAUAAUAACAUGUAGCAUGUCUUAUUUAAAGAGACAGAGCAAUGUAAAAAGGCAGGUGAAGUUGAUAUUAUAAGUAGACACUAGUUUACUUCCACUUCUUGAAUUUGCCUCCGAACAUCCCGCCCUUGCCAUGCUUUCCGUGCUUUCCGUGCUUGAAUUUCCCAUGCUUGCCAUGCUUAAACUUGCCUCCAUAAUGACCACCUCCAUAAUGACCGCCUCCAUAGUGAGCAGCACCGUGUGCCAUGUGAGAUCCACUUCCGUGUGCCAGGUGAUGAGCACCAUAGGCAGCAGCAGCAGAAACUUGCCAUGCUUUCCGUGCUUGAAUUUCCCAUGCUUGCCAUGCUUAAACUUGCCUCCAUAAUGACCGCCUCCGUGUCCAUAGUGAGCAGCACCGUGUGCGAUGUGAGAUCCACUUCCGUGUGCCAGGUGAUGAGCACCAUAGGCAGCAGCUGCAGCUGCAGCACCUCCGGCUAACAUCGCCCCCAUGCCCCCAUGACCUGAAAUGUAACAAGCAACGAAAGGGUAAAAAAUACCAUCAACAAUGAAAGAAAAUGUCAAAAAGUAUUUGGUCACAAAUAGCUAGCUAUUAUGCAGCACUGUUAGAAUUGCAUGUACUCUGUUUCAGUGCUCACAACAUAUAAACUGUUCUUGCCAUAUUUGUGCAUCUAGUUGUAAAAGAGAUUCAAAGAACUUUAACUAGACAAAUCCAACAUAUUGUGCACUUGGUAUAGUUACAGCUUUCUAUUAUUCAUUGGGGCCUAAAUAAAUCAGUUCCAAAGAUAAUACCUGAUUGGUGUGGAGGACCAUGGUGACCACCAGCGGGAGGAUAUCCUUGUGGAGGAUAUCCGGCAGGUGGGUAUCCUCCUCCAUGUGGAGGAUAACCCUGAGGAGGAUAUCCUUGAG